Long non-coding RNA from Sinocyclocheilus grahami, 244 nucleotides. RefSeq lists it as uncharacterized. Lineage: Eukaryota; Metazoa; Chordata; Actinopteri; Cypriniformes; Cyprinidae. The record is from RefSeq and is a predicted model, not a curated record. The transcript has 3 exons.
UGAAAUCGACAGUUCAGGAGGCAAAACAGUUGGUCAUGACACGUGGAAGACAAAGGGUCCCAGUCCAAUGUGAAGACAUUAUUUCAGUUCAGUGUCAGGAUGACCAAUUUGGGUUGGAUGCUGAAGUGGUUUAUGAUGAUACAUCCUUUCCCUUACGGAGGUGCACUCCAUUUGUGACUGGGUCAUAUCACGGGUAAACCUUCUGAAAUGUAUCUGACACAUUUUGUAUUAUAAAGACAUUUAG